Long non-coding RNA from Bactrocera neohumeralis, 401 nucleotides. RefSeq lists it as uncharacterized. The transcript has 2 exons. NCBI's taxonomy places the organism in Eukaryota, Metazoa, Arthropoda, Insecta, Diptera, Tephritidae. The record is from RefSeq and is a predicted model, not a curated record.
CAUUUUACAUCUCACCAAUAAAAUGUGGUAUUUUAGUAAAUCAUUUUCGUAUUUUGUGCUAGGACUUUUAUUAAUUCACCAAAUGCAGGUGUCGGCAGAGGAAUGCGAUCCUUGGACAAGACCCGUGCCGCCCGAGUGCACAUCUGUAGUUAUCAGAUAGAUGUUUGUUCGUAAUUAGCGGUCUCCAUUGUAUAGCGCUAGUGGUUGAAUCUGAAAGUGAUUCCAGUUUGCAGUCAACUCUAAAAAUUUCACCAAAAUUGCGUCACUAAUUCGCAUACGGAGGCGACUACAGCUACACUUUGUGGCUUAGGGUACUUAUGUAUGUAUAUGUAUUCGCCAAUUAUACUAAAUAUCUUGUAAUUUAUGCACAUUUCAUUAAACAAUAAAGUUCAUAAAGCUUC